Molecule: transfer RNA, 77 nt
Filed under: Beauveria bassiana
Lineage: Eukaryota; Fungi; Ascomycota; Sordariomycetes; Hypocreales; Cordycipitaceae
Also listed under: 1 other name
Description: tRNA-OTHER
Rfam family: tRNA
About the family: Transfer RNA (tRNA) molecules are approximately 80 nucleotides in length. Their secondary structure includes four short double-helical elements and three loops (D, anti-codon, and T loops).
Source: RNAcentral
GCCCCGUGGUGUAGUGGUUACACAUCAGGGAAGGCUUUCUUUGAUGAAGGUCGCUGGUUCGAAUCCGGCCGGGGGCA